GGGAGCGUUCUUGGAUUCGACGGGGAUAUCAAGGCUCUAGGUGCAUACCGAGAAUGAAAGAAUCUCGUUAAACCCUUUCAAAAAAAUAGUUGCAAACGACGACAACUAUGCUUUGGCUGCUUAAUUAAGCCAACGGUCAGCUGGAAUUGUUCCUGGUUUUAGUUCGACCGUCGUUUACAGGAAAUCGCUGGCUGUCGCGUCUGCCGAUAGUUUAGUUAAAUCCAGCAGAAUCGCCAAGAAGAUGCCCGUUCGUCGGCUGCUUUGCGGUUAAACACAGUAGGCAGAACUAAGUAUGUAGGACCGAAAGUUGCGGAUUCGCGGACGGGGGUUCAAAUCCCCCCGCUUCCACCA
This 351-nucleotide transfer-messenger RNA is filed under the name Cardiobacteriaceae. RNAcentral describes it as "RGIG9182 sp017934275 Standard tmRNA". It matches the Rfam family "transfer-messenger RNA". From Rfam's summary of the family: Bacterial tmRNA, also known as 10Sa RNA or SsrA, is named for its dual tRNA and mRNA-like properties. Its role is to liberate the mRNA from a stalled ribosome. RNAcentral also lists the same sequence under 1 other name. The record is from RNAcentral. Lineage: Bacteria; Pseudomonadati; Pseudomonadota; Gammaproteobacteria; Cardiobacteriales.